GAAAUACUCCCUCUGUCCAGAAAUACUUGUCGCAAAAAUAGAUACAAAUGGAUGCAUCUGAAUCUAAAAUACGUCUAGAUACAUCCAUUCAUCCGACAAGUAUUUCCGGACGGAGGGAGCACUAG
Non-coding RNA from Triticum aestivum (bread wheat), 125 nucleotides. The record is from Rfam. Lineage: Eukaryota; Viridiplantae; Streptophyta; Magnoliopsida; Poales; Poaceae.